Molecule: long non-coding RNA, 114 nt
Organism: Nomascus leucogenys (northern white-cheeked gibbon)
Lineage: Eukaryota; Metazoa; Chordata; Mammalia; Primates; Hylobatidae
Exons: 3
Source: RefSeq, a predicted model, not a curated record
GGGCUUCUGGUCAGGGAGCCUGACUCCCCACCUGGUGAACCUGAACGAAGACCCUCUGAUGUCUGAGUGUCUGCUCUACCACAUCAAAGAUGGCGUCACCAGCACUCUCGGCCU